UGAGGGAAAGCUGCAAAGUACUCUGAAGAGAGAGUUCAAAAGGACGUGAAGCCGUCUGCAGGGAAACGGGUGAGACCGCACGGUAGACCCGCNNCGGAUUCAGCUCGCAGGGUCGGGUGCGUCCGGGGUUCUGGNGCCUGACUUGUCAGGUCCCUGGCCUCGGUCUCGCGCCUGCCUUCCGGNUGCACUUCCGCNCCACGGUCGCGCAGGNCCCGACUCUGUGGCCGUCUGAAGCCCGGCGAGGAGGUGACGGGGCCUUCGGGCUUCCGAGUUUAACUCGUCGGUGCGGAGACCGGCUGCGGGGUCGAGGAACGUCUGUCCGUCUCUGACGCGUGGGGCCGGGUCGGCUCGUCGGUUCGACUGGGUUGGAGCCAUGAAAUUCGUGGCUGCUCCCGACCGCCGGUGGGUUCCUCCUUGUCCUUUCGCCGGACGACCGGGACGCCUGUGCUCAGGUCGGCACCUCACCCGACCC
This 472-nucleotide ribosomal RNA is filed under the name Eukrohnia hamata. RNAcentral describes it as "eukaryotic LSU rRNA". Lineage: Eukaryota; Metazoa; Chaetognatha; Sagittoidea; Phragmophora; Eukrohniidae. The record is from RNAcentral.